AUGGGGGUCUCAGGAUCCCACAGAAGUUGGUGUAGACGAUCCUGGAAAAGAAGGAGGCCUAGAAGAGUGGGACUCGACCACGGCUUUCCUUUCUAUGCAGGGCGUCUGAACAGUGGCGCUGCCUCUGAUUUCCGGAAUCUCCUAGGACUUCUCAGCUCUGGAAAACAGUUCCGUCAUUCAUUGCUUUUUCUCUCUGUUUCCGUCACAGAACCGUCCACCUUGCCAAGCUUGUUCUCCCGUUUUGAGACCAGCAGCGGCGAGAGGAAGACUCCCGAGGCUGCCUGGCACAGAGACGCAGAGCAAUGGCGGCUAGGUGGAGUCGAGGACGAGUCAGUAGUUUCCCCGUACCCGGAAUCAUUCGGGGAGACUCAGGACCUGCUGGAGUAUGUCAACUGGUUUGCACAGUUCCUGGCUGAGGAAGAGGGCACAAGCACAGGACCUUCCACCUCAACUGGUCCGGCUUCUCCCUCCCCACAUCUGCAACACAGAUCACCAUCAACAAGAGCAGCACUAGAGGAGGUGGAGCGAAUCAUUCAAGAGCUCAGGGCUAAAGAUGAAUCUUGCCGGGCCGUCCCUUCCGAUGUAUUGGAAUAUGACUCUGGGAGCCCCGACACAAGAUGUGAGGCGGCCCAGGCCACAUCAGGACGCUCCAGCUCGUUUGGACUGCCUUCUGCCACCUCAGCUCCGCAGCGGAUACUGUCGUCACUGGCAGAGGCCCAAGAAGACUUGGAGCAAGUCAUUGAAGAGCUCAUAGCUAAAGAUGAGUCCAGUUGGGCCCUCCCUCGUGAUAUAUUGGAUUAUCUCUCUGAAGGAUACCACCCGCCAAGCGCCUUUGGGUGUGCCCAAUCAGGUACAUCCAAUUUCGGGUGAAUCCGCCGCCACCGCCACAGGUUACAUUCGGGCGUGACCGUCGAGACACCGUAUUGCAGCUGGCUGGGACCGCCAAGACUCGUAUUCCCAGAGCCCAUUGUUCGACACUCGGAAUGGGUCUGAAUUUCCCUUCACAUCUCUUUCUGGGUACGGGAGAUUGUGAAUGACUGGGGGAGCAGAAAAAAUAAUGGGAAAGGAGAUGUGAUCACAGAAGGGCUUUAAAGACAGGGAGAACUGUGGGCUGGCAGAAGUGAAGAGAAAGGGAGUUCCCGAGUAGGGAGAAGAGAAUAAACUGGGAGAAAUGACAAUGGGGUAGGUUAGCUUCAGAGGAAUGUAAAAUCCUAGCUCAUGUGCAGUGGGAGAAGAGGACGGGUAAAGGGGAAAGACUUUAAAUCCUAUGGUCGGGAGUUUCUGCCUGAUACGAAGAAUAUAACCAGAAGUUUUUGAGAAGUGAGGAGAUGUUCGCGGAAAAAACGUUAGAGAAAAAUGAAACGGGCAGCAGAGUGAAAUAUGGACUUUAGAGAGGUGAGGUUGAAGGCAGGGAGAUAAGAGAGGAAGCUGAUGCACAGGUCCAGGCAGAAUACAGUCCAGAACUCCCUCAAACUGGAAUUCUUUGACCUCUCCAUCUCCUCCACUAGAUUGGAAGCUUCUUGAGGGUAGGGACCAUGUCUACUAACUCCAUUGGUCUCUCCUAAGUGCUUAGUAAAUGUGUUCUGCCCACAGAAGGUACUCGGUAAAUAUUAUUAGAUUGAAAGGCCUCUGAUGGCAGCGAUUGCAUCUUUUAAUUCUACUGUCUUCUCCCAACUCCUCAGUACGGUGCUCAGCCCAUAGUAGACAUUCGAUCAAUACGAUUAGGUUCUUCCAAGACGAGAAGCAUGACUAACGACUCAGUUGCAAUAAUAAUAAUGAUGGUAUUUGUUAAGAGCUUACUAUGAGCCAAGCACUGUUGUAGUUAUAGUCUCCCAAGUGCUUAGUACAGAAGGCUCAACCAGAGAAGGUGCUCAAUAAAACUGACGAAGCUCUAUCCUACUAAUCAGCAUGAAGCAGCAUGGCCUAGUGGAUAGAGCCUGGGCUUGGGAGGCAGAGAUCAUGGAUUCUAAUCCCGGCUCCACCAUUUGUCAGCUGUGUGACUACUUCGGGCAACUCAUUUAACUUCUCUGUGCCUCAGUUACCUCAUCUGUAAAAUAGGGAUCAAGAUUGUGAGCCCCACGUGGGACAAGGGACUGUAUCCCACCCAAUAUACUGGAAACUCACCUCCUCCAGGAGGCCUUCCCAGACUGAGCCCCCCUUUUCCUCUGCUCCUACUCCCCACCCCAUGGCUCCUACUCCCUCCCUAGCCCACAGCACUGUGUGAAUAUGUACAUAUUUAUUAUUCUAUUUAUUUUAUUAAUGAUGUGGAUAUAUGUAUAAUUCUAUUUACUUAUAUGGAUCCUAUUGAUGCUUGUCCACUUGUUGUGUUUUGUUGUCUGUCUCCCUCCUUCUAGACUGUGAGCCAGUUGUUGGGUAGGGAUUGUCCCUAUCUUUUGCCAAAGUGUACUUUCCAAUCGCUUAGUACAAUGCUCUGCCCCCAGUAAGUGCUCAAUUAAUACGAUUGAAUGAAUGAAUGUAUCCACCCCAGUGCUUAGGACAGUGCCUGGCACAAAGUAAGUGCUUAACGACUACAAUGAUAAUAAUUAUUAUUGUUACGGUUACUAUAAUUGCUAGCCAUUUCUGAAGUAAUUGUAAUUGAAGUAAAGUAAUUGAAGUAAAUAACGAUGGAUAUGACAGAUUGUUCAGAAAUGCAUGGUAUGUGGGAAUCUUUAUUCGUUAAUUUUAAACCCAUUGUCAAUAUAUGGCCAUUAUCUCUUUAAUGUAGACAGAUUCAAUCGUAUUUAUUGAGUGCUUACUGUUUGCAGAGCACUGUACUAAGCACUUGGACAUAUAGAUGUAUAGAUGUGAGCAGCAGAGUGGCUUAGUGGAAAGAACACGGGCCUGGAAAUCAGGGGGCCUGGGUUCUAAUCCCAGAUUUGCCCCAUGUCUGCUGUUUGUCCAUGGUAAGUUGCUUCACUUCUCUGUGCCUCAGUUACCUCAACGUUAAAGUGAGAAUUAAGACUGUGAACCCCCUAUGGGACAGGGACUGCAUGUGACCUGGUGCCUCAUAUCUACCCCAGGGCUCAGAACACUAGGCGCUUAAUGAAUCCCACAGUUAAUAUUCCUACAUAACGAUAAAAUGAUUCGAUGAACUUUCUCUCGAUUUUGCCUUCCCUUCCUCCUCUCCCCAGCCCCAGUUAUCUCCGAAGGAGCCCCGCUCU
RNAcentral lists this long non-coding RNA (3161 nucleotides) under Ornithorhynchus anatinus (platypus). RNAcentral's name for it is "lncRNA (ENSOANG00000033640.2)". Lineage: Eukaryota; Metazoa; Chordata; Mammalia; Monotremata; Ornithorhynchidae. The record is from RNAcentral.